Molecule: long non-coding RNA, 278 nt
Organism: Gossypium arboreum
Lineage: Eukaryota; Viridiplantae; Streptophyta; Magnoliopsida; Malvales; Malvaceae
Exons: 2
Source: RefSeq, a predicted model, not a curated record
AAAAAAGAAAGAUAUCUUUCUCAUCUUCUUUCUUUUCACAUCAAACAAAGGGGGAAAGAAAAAAUAUUUCUUUCAUCAUUUUCUUUCAAAUUCAAGUGUAAGGUAGUUAGAUUCGAUAGAUCAUUCCAGCAGCAUCUGAAGAACCGAAGUUCAGCUCAAACAAUGUUGGUGAAGAGUUUACUUUAUAGUUGAUGUAAAUGGCAUGUACCUAGGCUUAUAAAUAUAUAAUAGUACGUCGUAAAUUGAAUUUAAAUAAUUUCAUUAUGUUUUCUUAGCUA